Long non-coding RNA from Vicia villosa (hairy vetch), 795 nucleotides. RefSeq lists it as uncharacterized. The transcript has 4 exons. Lineage: Eukaryota; Viridiplantae; Streptophyta; Magnoliopsida; Fabales; Fabaceae. The record is from RefSeq and is a predicted model, not a curated record.
CGCUUUUCAAAAGCGCUCUGGUAGGGGUGUUUAAUGAGAGCGCUUUUUGUCAAAAGCGCUGGUAUAGACCAGGCUAUGAGAGCGCUUUUCAGAAGCCCUUUAGUAGCCUUUAUUACUAAAAAUUAAAAACCAAAACACGCGUUACUGUUUCUCAUUUCUCUCUUUCGUUUUCUGCAGAACCCUUCCGUCCACCACUGUUCUUCAUCCACAAACCCUCACUGCACGCGAAACCCUUCCGUCCACCACCAUCGGCAACCACCGUCGGCGUCCCUCCGUCGGCUUCUCCUCCGUCACUCGUUUUAUCCACCGCCGGUCUGACUGGAUUGAUAACUUUGGAUCUCUUUGGAGCUCGUAUCAUUGACUCUGGUACUACAUAUUUAGGAGGGUAACUUGUGUAUAGUGAAAGUUUGAUCGUUUCCCAGCCUAGUUCGACGUUUGGCGUUUUCUUGAGUUCGGUAACAUCCGAGGGGUUACUUGUGAAGAGUGGAAGUUUGACCGUUGUUGUUUAGCUUAAUUAAGACAUGGAUAAGACAUGGAUGAAUUCAAACCGAUUGUCGAAAGAGUACGAGAAAGGGGUAUGGGAAUUUGUUGAGUUUGCGGUUGCGAACUCCAAAGACCCGCUUCGAAUGCCGUGUCCUUGCUUGGGUUGCUGUUAUGCCGGGGGUAAGGUUGACGGGAAUCAGUUGGGAUCUCAUUUACUACGGUUUGGAAUUGAUAGAAGUUAUACAUGUUGGACAAUGCAUGGUGAGAAAAGUACCGGGAAUGCUGGGUCGAGGUGUAAUAGGAAGUAUGCUU